CGGCUACGGCCGGUCCCCUCGCUUGUAGGGACUCGCCUCCCGGGACAGCCACCACAGGCCUCUCGCUGCCCUCUGAGGGGAAGGGAGGAACCAAAAGGUGGAAGAGAGACGCAGUGUGCUCUUCCGCCGCUCAAUCCUGCUGACGGUGCGCGGACCAUCCGCGCUCUGGUUCCCUUCCGCAGUCCGCGCCUUGAGGCGGGCGCCAGGGAGCUGUCCGUCCCAUUGGUUCUGAAUCAGGCGCUACGGAAACGCUCCAGAUGAAACAGAGUCAUCAGAGGAGAGGAGGACCUGUCGGGAUUCAGAAGAAUUCUCUAAGCAUCAUAUCCUACUGGACCCCUGUUUCCAUCUCUUUUGAAGGGAUAUGAGACAUAAGACAAAGCAAAAUUCCAUGAAACAGUGGGCUCAGAAGUGUCUGCACAAAACUCCCUCAGAGACAACUUGGCUGGACCAUCCAACAUGAUAUUGAAACUGGGAGAAAACACUGCCUGGGGACUGUCAGUGGGAGAGAG
This 509-nucleotide long non-coding RNA is filed under the name Bos indicus x Bos taurus (hybrid cattle). RNAcentral describes it as "lncRNA (ENSBIXG00000012307.1)". The record is from RNAcentral. Lineage: Eukaryota; Metazoa; Chordata; Mammalia; Artiodactyla; Bovidae.